GCUUCUUUCCUCCCGAGUGCUUGCACUCAAUUGGAAAGAGGAGUGGCGGACGGGUGAGUAACACGUGGGUAACCUACCCAUCAGAGGGGGAUAACACUUGGAAACAGGUGCUAAUACCGCAUAACAGUUUAUGCCGCAUGGCAUAAGAGUGAAAGGCGCUUUCGGGUGUCGCUGAUGGAUGGACCCGCGGUGCAUUAGCUAGUUGGUGAGGUAACGGCUCACCAAGGCCACGAUGCAUAGCCGACCUGAGAGGGUGAUCGGCCACACUGGGACUGAGACACGGCCCAGACUCCUACGGGAGGCAGCAGUAGGGAAUCUUCGGCAAUGGACGAAAGUCUGACCGAGCAACGCCGCGUGAGUGAAGAAGGUUUUCGGAUCGUAAAACUCUGUUGUUAGAGAAGAACAAGGACGUUAGUAACUGAACGUCCCCUGACGGUAUCUAACCAGAAAGCCACGGCUAACUACGUGCCAGCAGCCGCGGUAAUACGUAGGUGGCAAGCGUUGUCCGGAUUUAUUGGGCGUAAAGCGAGCGCAGGCGGUUUCUUAAGUCUGAUGUGAAAGCCCCCGGCUCAACCGGGGAGGGUCAUUGGAAACUGGGAGACUUGAGUGCAGAAGAGGAGAGUGGAAUUCCAUGUGUAGCGGUGAAAUGCGUAGAUAUAUGGAGGAACACCAGUGGCGAAGGCGGCUCUCUGGUCUGUAACUGACGCUGAGGCUCGAAAGCGUGGGGAGCAAACAGGAUUAGAUACCCUGGUAGUCCACGCCGUAAACGAUGAGUGCUAAGUGUUGGAGGGUUUCCGCCCUUCAGUGCUGCAGCAAACGCAUUAAGCACUCCGCCUGGGGAGUACGACCGCAAGGUUGAAACUCAAAGGAAUUGACGGGGGCCCGCACAAGCGGUGGAGCAUGUGGUUUAAUUAGG
Molecule: ribosomal RNA, 916 nt
Filed under: Enterococcus faecalis
Lineage: Bacteria; Bacillati; Bacillota; Bacilli; Lactobacillales; Enterococcaceae
Description: bacterial SSU rRNA
Rfam family: Bacterial small subunit ribosomal RNA
Source: RNAcentral